RNAcentral lists this long non-coding RNA (3350 nucleotides) under Homo sapiens (human). RNAcentral's name for it is "HSALNT0050158". Lineage: Eukaryota; Metazoa; Chordata; Mammalia; Primates; Hominidae. The record is from RNAcentral.
AUAUGAAAUUAUAACAUUAAUUCCCACCUAUGUUAAUUUUGCCAUUGACUUAUGAACUAAUUUUCAAAUUUAUUUUGAAAUUAAUCAUACCUUCUAGUUCAAGGACCUUCAUGGAUUCUGAAUGUAAAAGAAUCCCAAUGAUUUUAUCUCUUCAGAAAACAUAAAUAUAAAUUGUAUUCAAAUAUGCAUAUUACACAAAGAUGCAUUACACAUAUUGCAAGAGACAUUCACACAUAUUUUUGGUUGGUGAUUUAGCCUGAAUUUGCUAACAAUGGCAUGGUGUCUACUUUGAUUUUGUUUAGCUGGAAUAAUCAAGUAUUAGUCCAUUCUUUCACUGCUAUUAAAUACCUGAGACUGGGUAGUUUAUAGGGAAAAGAAGAUUAAUUGGCUGAAGGUUCUGCAGACUGUAUGAGAAGCAUAGUGGCUUCUGAGAAAACCUCAGGAAAGUUAGAAUCAUGGUGGUGUAGGAGGACUAGCCACAGACAAAACCACUCAGACACCGGGUUAAGAAGGAAGUGGCUUUAUUUGGCCAGGAGCAUCAGCAGACUUGCAUGUCAAGAACUGAGCUCUCUGAAGAAAGAGUUCCUGGCCCUUUUAAGAACUUACAACUCUAAGGGGUUCACGUGAAAGGGUUGUGAUAGAUUGACAUUCAGAGAUAGCAUAUGUGAUUAGAGGGGGGCUAAUCUUUAACCUCUCUCUUCAUUCCCCCAUUUGAGAACCUUACUCACUAGUGGGAGGUCUCACUCUCAUCUUCACUACCCAGGUCUUUCUGCAAGACAGAUCGACAGUGAUUCAUGUAAUACACUUGUGUAUUACAAGACAUUCAUGUAAUACAUUUGUGCUGAAGUUUUCUGAUGAACCAAGGUAGUAACAAAACUUCUUAGAAGUUGGAGAAAUAUGGGUAACAAACAAAGGAGCAAUAGGAGGGUUGCAGCUGGAGAUCUGGGGAGGAGCUGGUGUUUUUUAGUUUGAGGGUCAUGCAGCUAUAGACCCUGGGAGGAGCAGGAGUUUCUUUAGUUUGAGGGUUGGGCAGCUGCAGAACCCGGGAGAAUCUGAUGUUCUGGUUUGAGGGUCCUGCAGCUGGAGACCCAGAGAGCAGCUGGUGUUUCUUUAGUUUGAUGGCCGUGCAGCUGUAGAACCCAGGGGGAGCUGGUAUUUUUCUAGUAUGAGUGUCCUGCAGCUGGAGACCUGGAGAAGAGCUGAUGUUCUAGUUUGAGGGUCGUGCCGCUGAAGACUCAGGGAGAAGCUGAUGUUCUCGUUUGAGGAUACUGCAGCUGGAGACCUGGAGAGGAGCUGAUGUUAUUCUAGUUUGAGGAUCAUGGAGCUUGAGAUCCACAGAGGAGCAGGUAUUGUUCUAGAUUGAGGUUCAUGUAGCUGAAGACCUGGGGAGCAGCGGGUGUUUUUUAGUUUGAGGGUCAUGCAGCUGUAGAACCCGGGAGGAGCUGGUGUUUUUCUAGUAUGAGUGUCCUGCAGCUGGAGACCUGGAGAGGAGCUGAUGUUGUUCUAGUUUGAGGGUUGUGCAGCUGAAGACUUGGAGGGGAGCUGAUGUUGUUCUUGUUGAGGGUCUUUCAGCUGGAGACCCAGAGAGGAGCUGAUGUGGUUCUAGUUUAAGGGUCAUGGAGCUGGAGACCCAGAGAGGAGCUGGUGUUGUUCUGAUUUGAGGUUCAUGCAGCUGGAGACAUGGAGAGGAGCGGGUGUUUCUUUAGUUUGAGAUUCAUGCAGCUGUAGAACCGGGGAAGAGCUGGCGUUUUUCUAGUAUGAGUGUCCUACAGCUGGAGACCAGGAGAGGAGCUGAUGUUCUAGUUUGAGAGCCAUGCGACUGGAGAUGCAAAGAGGAGCUGAUUUGGUUCUAGUUUGAGGGUCAUGGAGCUGGAGACCCAGAGAGGAGCUGGUGUUUCUUUAGUUUGAGGGUCAUACAGCUGUAGAACCCAUGAGGAGCUUGCAUUUUUCUAGUGUGAGUGUCCUGCAGCUGAAGACCUGGAGAAGAGCUGAUGCUUUCAAUUGAGGGUUGUGCAGCUUAAGACUCAGGGAGGAGCUGAUGUUCUAGUUUGAGGGCCAUGAGCUUAAGACCCGGGGAUGAGCUGAUGUUGUUCUGGUUUGAGGUUCAUGCACCUGGAGACCUGAGGAGGAGCGGUUGUUUUUUAGUUUGAGGGUCGUGCAACAGUAGAACCUGGGAGGAGCUUGUGUUUUUCUAGUAUGAGUGUCCAGCAGCUAGAGACCCAGAGAGGAGCCGAUGUUCUAGGUUGAGGGUGGUGCAGCUGAAGACUCGGGAAGGAGCUAAUGUUCUAGUUUGAGGGCCGUGAUCUGGGGACUUGGAGAGGAGCUGAUGUUGUUCUAGUUUGAGGGUCGUGCAGCUGAAGACGGGGGAGGGUUCUAGUUUGAGUGCCCUGCAGCUGAAGACUCGGGAAGGAGCUGAUGUUGUCCUUGUUUUACGAUCUUUCAGCUGGAGACUCAAAGAGGAGCUGAUGUUGUUCUAAUUUGAGUGUAAUGGAGCUGGAGACCCGGGGUGGAGCUGAUGUUGUUCUAGUUUGAGUGUUGUGCAGCUGGAGAUCCAAGAAGGAGGUGGUCUUGUGGUUCAAAUCUGAGGGUCCUGGAGCUGGAAUCUAUGGGAGGAGUCAAUGCUGCCACUGAUGUCUUAGAUUGUGCAGCAGAAGACCCACAGAGGAGCCGGUGUUGGUGUUCUAGUGUGAGGGUGUGGAUCUGGAGAUCCAUGGGGGAGUGACGUUCUUCUAGUUUUUGGGUUGUGGUGCUGGAGACCCAGGGAGGAGCUCAUGGUGUUCUAGUUGAGGGUCGUGGUGCUGGAGACCCAGGGAGGAGUCGAUCCUUCUGUUGUUUAAGUCUGAAGGUCAUCGAGCUGGAGAUCCGGGGAAGAGCUGGUGCUGCGGUUCAAGUCUGAGGGUGUUGGUGUUCUAGUGUGAGGGUCAUGGAUCUGGAGAUCCAUGGGGGAGUGGUGUUCUUCUAGUUUGUGGGUUGUGGUGCUGGAGACCCAGGGAGGAGCUGAUUCUUUUGUUGUUUAAGUCUGAAGGUCGUCAAGCUGGAGAUCCGGGGAAGAGCUGGUGCUGCGAUUCAAGUCUGAGGGUCCUGGAGCUUGAGACCCCAGGAGGAGAUGGUGCUGCCACUAAUGUCUUAGAUUGUAAAGCUGGAGAUCUGUGGAGGAGCUGGUGUUUCUGUUCUAGUGUAAGGUUUGUGGAUCUGGAGUCCCAGGGGUGAGCAGUGUUGUUUUAGUUUGAGGGUCAUGGAGUUAGAGACCCGGGGAGGAGCUGAUGUUGUAGUUUGAGGGUCGUGCAGCUGGAGACCCAGGGAGGAGCUGGUGUGUUUCUAGUUGGAGGGUUGUGGAGCUGGAGAUUCAC